Nasonia vitripennis (jewel wasp) is the source of this 971-nucleotide long non-coding RNA. RefSeq lists it as uncharacterized. Lineage: Eukaryota; Metazoa; Arthropoda; Insecta; Hymenoptera; Pteromalidae. The record is from RefSeq and is a predicted model, not a curated record. The transcript is spliced from 5 exons.
CGAAGAAAUUUCUGUCACGAAUGAUGAACACCGGAUGCAGUAAACGAACAACCCUCUCCAGUGACGAAAGACAGUUCACUACAAGAAAGCUCCCAGACAAAACCUCCAGCCAUACUAACACCUUUACCUGCCCUACUGGACUCUCCAUCUCCAACUAGAGCAACGUCUUCACCUGCUCUACUGGACACUGCACCUCCAGCUACACUAACGCCUGCCCCUCAGGACUCUCCAGCUUCUGUGCAAGCAUCUUUAACUACUAAAAAAGAUCUUUGGCCAAAGUAUCAAAGAAUUCACUCGAGGAUCAAGCUGAUCCAUUAGCUGGGUUCUUGAAAUCUUUUAGUAAAAAUAUAAAGGAGCAACUAUCAGCUAUGAAGACUACUCUUUCAACAAAAAUUAAUGCAUUAGAUGUCAAACUAAUAGUUAUGCAAAAGGAUGUAGAUGAGAUUAAGACUUUUAUAAUGGAAUCAAGACAAAUGACAAAAAAUAAAAGAUUAGUGGCAUUUCAAACUUGAAAAGUUACGAUGCACACCAUUUUCCUAUGUCAUCCAUGGAAAACUUUGACAACUUCGACAGUGAUCUAGAAGGUCAAUGUUCGAUGCUUUACAACAACAUCUUCUUUGUACGACUAACACAAGUUAUGAUUUAAUGAAAAUCAUUACCAGCAUUUUUAAAACAUUUCUGUCAAGAGAUGUAAUAAUGUCGUUUACAGCCCAAAAAAAAAGCAAGGAUAAAAGGAUACAAAAUUCUUUAGAUGUAUAAAAGAAUCGCUAAUGCAAGCUUUUGAUAAAAAAAAGUGAUCGACGAUUCGACGCUCCCGACCACAAUUGGAGCUGUCAUCAAUAACUCCUACGACUGGAAUGGCUACAGAAGCAAGAGGCAGAGGAUAGACGCAGUUUAACCCUAGAAUCUCGUAUAUUAAAUUACUUUUUUUGAACUAACUAACUUUGUAUUUUUUAAAUAAAAAUCAUUCA